This 504-nucleotide ribosomal RNA is filed under the name uncultured bacterium. RNAcentral's name for it is "partial 16S ribosomal RNA". It matches the Rfam family "Bacterial small subunit ribosomal RNA", at positions 29 to 523 of the family's 1533-position model. The record is from RNAcentral.
AUUGAACGCUGGCGGCAGGCCUAACACAUGCAAGUCGGACGGUAGCACAGAGAGCUUGCUCUCGGGUGACGAGUGGCGGACGGGUGAGUAAUGUCUGGGGAUCUGCCCGAUAGAGGGGGAUAACCACUGGAAACGGUGGCUAAUACCGCAUAACGUCGCAAGACCAAAGAGGGGGACCUUCGGGCCCCUCACUAUCGGAUGAACCCGGAUGGGAUUAGCUAGUAGGAGGGGUAACGGCCCACCUAGGCGACGAUCCCUAGCUGGGCUGAGAGGAUGUCCAGCCACACUGGAACUGAGACACGGUCCAGACUCCUACGGGAGGCAGCAGUGGGGAAUAUUGCACAAUGGGCGCAAGCCUGAUGCAGCCAUGCCGCGUGUAUGAAGAAGGCCUUCGGGUUGUAAAGUACUCUCAGCGGGGAGGAAGGCGAUGUGGUUAAUAACCGUAUCGAUUGACGUUACCCGCAGAAGAAGCACCGGCUAACUCCGUGCCAGCCGCCGCCGUAA